Molecule: ribosomal RNA, 896 nt
Filed under: Colletotrichum gigasporum
Lineage: Eukaryota; Fungi; Ascomycota; Sordariomycetes; Glomerellales; Glomerellaceae
Description: LSU rRNA
Rfam family: Eukaryotic large subunit ribosomal RNA
Source: RNAcentral
UGCAUAUCAAUAAGCGGAGGAAAAGAAACCAACAGGGAUUGCCUCAGUAACGGCGAGUGAAGCGGCAACAGCUCAAAUUUGAAAUCUGGUCCUUGCGGCCCGAGUUGUAAUUUGCAGAGGAUGCUUUUGGCGCGGUGCCUUCCAAGUUCCCUGGAACGGGACGCCUUAGAGGGUGAGAGCCCCGUACGGUUGGACACCAAGCCUUUGUAAAGCUCCUUCGACGAGUCGAGUAGUUUGGGAAUGCUGCUCUAAAUGGGAGGUAUAUUUCUUCUAAAGCUAAAUACCGGCCAGAGACCGAUAGCGCACAAGUAGAGUGAUCGAAAGAUGAAAAGCACUUUGAAAAGAGGGUUAAACAGCACGUGAAAUUGUUAAAAGGGAAGCGCUUGUGACCAGACUUGCGCCCGGUGAAUCACCCAGCUCUCGCGGCUGGGGCACUUUGCCGGCUCAGGCCAGCAUCAGCUUGCCGUCGGGGACAAAAGCUUCGGGAACGUAGCUCUCUUCGGGGAGUGUUAUAGCCCGUUGCAUAAUACCCUUCGGCGGGCUGAGGUACGCGCUCCGCAAGGAUGCUGGCAUAAUGGUCAUCAGCGACCCGUCUUGAAACACGGACCAAGGAGUCAACCUUAUGUGCGAGUGUUCGGGUGUCAAACCCCUACGCGUAAUGAAAGUGAACGCAGGUGAGAGCUUCGGCGCAUCAUCGACCGAUCCUGAUGUUCUCGGAUGGAUUUGAGUAAGAGCAUAUAGGGUUGGACCCGAAAGAAGGUGAACUAUGCGUGUAUAGGGUGAAGCCAGAGGAAACUCUGGUGGAGGCUCGCAGCGGUUCUGACGUGCAAAUCGAUCGUCAAAUAUGCGCAUGGGGGGCGAAAGACUAAUCGAACCUUCUAGUAGCUGGUUCCCCA